RNA transcript from Culicoides brevitarsis, 2108 nucleotides. It is a transcript of the gene named probable cytochrome P450 313a4, with no coding region annotated. NCBI's taxonomy places the organism in Eukaryota, Metazoa, Arthropoda, Insecta, Diptera, Ceratopogonidae. The record is from RefSeq and is a predicted model, not a curated record. The transcript has 4 exons.
AUGACAAAAAACGUUGUUUGUUGCCUAAAAUUCACGAGUGACGACAACAAAAAACCACUUACCAAAACGCGAUGUUGUAACACAAGUGGAACCGAAGAUUUAGUUUUUCGUCUUCAUAACAUCACAAAAUUCGUAUUUUUGGCAAAAUACAUUCGUGCAUUGCUCUCAGUACCAGUUUUCGAUUCGAUCGACGAUGUUUCUCCUAAUAUUACUGUCAGCUGUUGUUGCGUCGUUUUUGCUUCUCCUCCUUGGAUAUUUGGAGUUGCAUCGCCAUUCACUUAAUCGUCGUUUUCGUCACAUUCCCGGACCAAAACAAUACCCGAUCAUCGGUAAUUUAACGAAACCUCCAUCAACGGACUUGACAGACUUCAAUUUCUACGUGGAACAGUUGUCAGCAGCUCCCGUAACGAAAAUGAUUGUUCCUGGUCACUUGAUUUUGGGCAUUUCGGAUCCUUCAAUUUUGCAGCAGAUUUUAAAUGCGCCCGAAUUUCUGGGACGCGUGGAGUAUUUUUUGAAAUUUACGCCGUGGAAGGAGGCAAUGUUGACAGCUGCAUGUCCGGAAAAGUGGCGCGCACUGAGAAAAGUCAUCCAACCGGCGUUUUCUCAUAAAAAUUUGGUGUCGAUUAUUCCGACUUUUAAUAAACAUUUGAAAUGUUUCACGGAAAUGUUGGAAAAAUAUGCAGAUACUGGCGUGGAUUUUGAUUUUUUUGAACUUUCUGACGCGAUUGGGAUGAAACAAGCUCUCGAAACGGUCUUGAAUGUCACGGAAAUUGAUCCGAAUUUGAUGCAUGACAUGUUUAAGAAGAUUGUCGAUAAUACUUGUGAUCGUCUUGUGCGGAUUUACGAACAUCCCGAUGUUUUUUAUGGAUUUACAGCCAAAUCUGAGGAAUGUAAAAAAAUUUCUGAAAAAUUAGAAGAAAUUUUCAAUGAAGCUAUUGAUCGAACGUUGAUGGAUGCGAAAAAUGCAAAUGCCACAAAUGUUCUGUAUUUCUUGCUGAAACAGAGACGCGGUGAAGUUAACAUGGGAUUGACGAUGGAACAAGUCAAGGAUAAUGCUCUCAUUAUGUUUGGUGCUGGUUAUGAAACAAGUGCAAUCACAAUAUCUCACGUAAUAUUGAUGUUGGCGAUGCAUCCAGAGGUCGAUAGUCGUCUCUACAAAGAAUUAAGCGAAAAUUUUAAAGUUGGAGACACAAUUGAUCAUCAUUUACUGAAAAAACUUCCGUAUUUGGAUAUGGUUUUCAAAGAAACGCUCAGAUUAUUUCCCACAGUUCCGAUUGUUUUGCGCCAAGCUAACAAAGAAAAGUUCAUCGAUGGCAUUGGACUAAUUCCCAAAGGAACAAUAGUCAUCCCGAACCUCUACCAACUCCAUCGAUGCCCCUCAAUUUGGGGCAAAGCUCCUGAAAAAUUUAAUCCCGACAAUUUCUUACCUGAAAACAUCAAUUCUCGUCAUUCCUUGAGCUUCAUUCCCUUCAGCAGUGGUCCUCGGAACUGCAUCGGCAUGGAACACGCUCAACUCAACAUCAAACUAGCCCUCGUUCACAUCUUGAGCGAGUUCAGGUUCGAAACGGAUCUCAAGAUGAAUGAACUCGAUGUGAGAUUCUCCGUUUUUGUACGCUUGAAUAACAAGUACGCGGUAAGAACGUAUCGCAGACAGCAACGGAAUCGUGAUAAAAGACAAUGCGAAAAAGAGUGAUUGUUGUCAUUAUUCCGUCAGUAAGUUCGUUUGCUGCUAAAAGAAGUAAUUAAAAAAUUUAUUCUGUCACAAGUAACUGAAAAAAAGUUUGUUUUUUUUUUUAUUUUAUCUCAUUGUAGACAUCUUUUGGUCGUUAUUCUCAUUAAAUUCGAGUCCGGAGAUGCGUUUGAAAAUUCAUGCGAAAAAAGUCUGCUUUGGUGACGAGAGGAAAGAGCGGUUGAAAUGUUCUUAGGUUCCUGAAAUUUUUGUUUUUAAAAAUAUUUUUGAUGAAUUUUAUUAUUUUUUUUUAAUCUGGGAUAUUCAAUAAUUUUUUAUUAUUAUAAAUGUUUUUUUUUUCAAAAAAUCCUUAAUUUUUUAAAAAAAUAAACUUAAAAAAUUUAAAUUCAAAUUAAUUUAAGAAAAAAUUAUUUAAAUU